UAGUAUAAGCAUUAUACCGCGAAACUGCGAAUGGCUCAUUAUAUAAGUUAUCGUUUAUUUGAUAAUACUUUACUACUUGGAUAACCGUGGUAAUUCUAGAGCUAAUACAUGCUGAAAAUCCCGACUUCGGAAGGGAUGUAUUUAUUAGAUUAAAAACCAAUGCCCCUCGGGGCUCUCUGGUGAAUCAUAAUAACUAGUCGAAUCGACAGGCCUUGUGCCGGCGAUGGCUCAUUCAAAUUUCUUCCCUAUCAACUUUCGAUGGUAGGAUAGUGGCCUACCAUGGUUUCAACGGGUAACGGGGAAUUAGGGUUCUAUUCCGGAGAGGGAGCCUGAGAAACGGCUACCACAUCCAAGGAAGGCAGCAGGCGCGCAAAUUACCCAAUCCCGACACGGGGAGGUAGUGACAAUAAAUACUGAUACAGGGCUCUUUUGGGUCCUGUAAUUGGAAUGAGUACAAUUUAAAUCCCUUAACGAGGAACAAUUGGAGGGCAAGUCUGGUGCCAGCAGCCGCGGUAAUUCCAGCUCCAAUAGCGUAUAUUAAAGUUGUUGCAGUUAAAAAGCUCGUAGUUGAACCUUGGGCCUGGCUGGCCGGUCCGCCUCACCGCGUGCACUGGUCCGGCCGGGCCUUUCCUCCUGGGGAGCCGCAUGCCCUUCACUGGGUGUGUCGGGGAACCAGGACUUUUACUUUGAAAAAAUUAGAGUGUUCAAAGCAGGCCUAUGCUCGAAUACAUUAGCAUG
Molecule: ribosomal RNA, 738 nt
Filed under: uncultured Heyderia
Lineage: Eukaryota; Fungi; Ascomycota; Leotiomycetes; Helotiales; Helotiaceae
Description: SSU rRNA
Rfam family: Eukaryotic small subunit ribosomal RNA
Source: RNAcentral